Molecule: RNase MRP RNA, 232 nt
Filed under: Puccinia triticina 1-1 BBBD Race 1
Lineage: Eukaryota; Fungi; Basidiomycota; Pucciniomycetes; Pucciniales; Pucciniaceae
Description: RNase MRP
Rfam family: RNase MRP
About the family: RNase MRP is an enzymatically active ribonucleoprotein with two distinct roles in eukaryotes. In mitochondria it plays a direct role in the initiation of mitochondrial DNA replication.
Source: Rfam by way of RNAcentral
CAAGCAAGCCAAGGACCAUAUGUUUUUUGUGUUACACUUUCAGCAUCUAAGCUUAUUAUAUUCAACACAAGGAGAAAGUCCCCGGAAAACAAAAUAUCUUCUGUCCAAUGAUUAAAGAUUAGGGCAGUGGGUAUUUAGUAAAGCAACUUUGUUUGUUUGUUUUUUCAUAAUAAAAGUAAUAUGGUCACCUAUAAUAAUGGGGCAACUUAAUGGGGCUUACUCUGGCUUGUUG